CCCCCGCGCCCAAUGGGAAGACGGAAUACUCGAGACUGGCGUCCGCUUCUAAACCAAUCAGAAGGAAAAGGGGUGCACGUGCGCAAAAGUGAUCCGGAAGGAGGGAGGCUCGUGGUGACGUCACAGCCUGACCCAUUUAUGUAUGCCGCCCAGAACGGGCAGGACAGCAAGGAUGGUUAUGCCGCGAAAUGAACCCCAUGCGCUGACUAAUUCCAGCCAAGCCAAGGAAGAAAAUAUUCUGUAUUUUAUUUUAACAAGUACAGAAUUGUUGACAUUAUUUGGUAUCGCCUCCGCCGGACACCUGUAACCAACUCGGAACCCAAACCGGGCUUUAAUUACAAAUAAAAGUAAACAAACCGCAAGGCAAGAGCACUCGCAUCAAAGAAAAUGUCAUUUCCUUUUCUUAAUUGGCCAUUCCUUCUGAGAAUGACAUCCAUAGGGUGGAAAGCAUCUCAGAUCAUCCACUAAACAACGGUUCUAAUGCUGCACGUCUAAAACCCUGCCCCUUGUUGUUGCCAUGAUCAGAUCCAUAUUGCAUUGCCAGACAAUAGGGUGCUGGGCAAGCUCCCUUCCCAAACCCGAGCCCCCCAGACGUCAUGUUCAGUUUCAUCCCAGAGCAGCUGUAGGGCACGGAGAUGCAUGUCCCAGGUUCCAUUGCAAUGCAAGAAUCUUCAUUUCUUGACUGCAGAUAGUGCUACUGAUAUAUAAUAAUUAUUAUUAUAUUCACUUCUUGCCUGCAGGUUCUUUGGUGAGAACGCAAGCUGCCCAACCCAGCAAGGCUUUUGAGAUUUUUGUAGCGCGCACUUGAGCGCAGAGUUCAGGUAUCGGUGGGUCGUAGGCCACGUGAAAAGGGCGUCUUCCCACACGUUCCUGCAAGAAAGGAAGAGAAACAGAUCAAGUUUGAUCACUUAUGAUGUGGAACUGAAAAAUAUGGAUUUUUAGACAUAUAUUUUAUGUCUUGUAUUUUUAUAUGUAUUUUUAUCCUUUACAAUUUUAUCUUGUAAAUUGCCUAGAGCAUCAUGGAUGGAGGGCGAUUAAUAAGUAAUUUAAAUGAUGAUGAUGAUGAUAUUGUAUGCACAUAAGAAGCAGUGAAAUGUAGAAAAAUCAGACUCUCUCUGUGUUAGAUUUUAGGGAUGCACAAGCUGACAGGACAGGGGGGAGAAGGGGGGCCAGUUAUCUAAACAUUCCAGUGUGAAUUGGUUCCUAGUACAGCUAAAUGGAAGGAGAGCAGACAGGUCAAAGUAGGCCUCUUGAUGGCUUUCUUUUGGUGUCUGUAGCUUGCUACACGCUUUUAAGAGUACUUAAGAUAGGAAAAUGCUGAUUGUGCAUAUUUAUGCCCAUGUAUGUAAGCAUGUGAAGUGACGUACUAAUGACGAGAUGUAUGUAAAAGCAUGUUCUUUGUCUGAAAAUGUAUAAAAGGCGAGUCCACACCUUGAUCUAUCUGCCCAUUUUAUAAUAGCCCCAUUCUCAAGGUGUUGCCAAUCUUAUAUUGCAUUUUGUCCAUUUCAACUGUGAAAUUACCUUCCCCAUUUCGGCACAUUCUGCACUUUGCCUGGGUUCAAUGAAUUAGUCUCCUGUGUUAAUAUUGUAUGUUUUAUGUCGAUUUUAACUAUUGUUUUUACUGUAAUUGAUGUUUUUAUUGGAUAAUUGUUUUAUUGCUGUGUUUUGAUAUUUGAUUGUUUUAUCGGGCAAGGCCCCAUGUAAGCCGCCCCGAGUCCCUUCGGGGAGAUGGGGCGGGGUAUAAAAAUAAAGUUAUUAUUAUUAUUAUUA
This is a long non-coding RNA of Anolis carolinensis (green anole), 1770 nucleotides long. RefSeq lists it as uncharacterized. The record is from RefSeq and is a predicted model, not a curated record. Lineage: Eukaryota; Metazoa; Chordata; Lepidosauria; Squamata; Anolidae. The transcript has 2 exons.